AUACUGAGUGGCAAACGGGUGAGUAUAAUGUGGGAAUCUGCCUUUUGGUUUGGAAUAACACGGGGAAACUUGUGCUAAUACCGAAUAAGCCUUUACAGGGAAAGUUUUAAUGCCGAAAGAUGAGCCCGCACUUGAUUAGCUAGUUGGUAAGGUAAAAGCUUACCAAGGCAAUGAUCAAUAGCUGUUCUUAGAGGAAGACCAGCCACAUUGGGACUGAGACACGGCCCAGACUCCUACGGGAGGCAGCAGUGGGGAAUCUUGCACAAUGGGGGAAACCCUGAUGCAGCGAUGCCGCGUGAGUGAAGAAGGCCUUUGGGUUGUAAAACUCUUUCGUCGGGGAAGAAAAUGACUGUACCCGAAUAAGAAGGUCCGGCUAACUUCGUGCCAGCAGCCGCGGUAAUACGAAGGGACCUAGCGUAGUUCGGAAUUACUGGGCUUAAAGAGCUCGUAGGUGGUUAAAAAAGUUGAUGGUGAAAUCCCAAGGCUCAACCUUGGAACUGCCAUCAAAACUUUUUAGCUAGAGUGUGAUAGAGGUAAGUGGAAUUUCUAGUGUAGAGGCGAAAUUCGUAGAUAUUAGAAAGAACACCAAAUGCGAAGGCAACUUACUGGGUCACUACUGACACUGAGGAGCGAAAGCAUGGGUAGCGAAGAGGAUUAGAUACCCUCGUAGUCCAUGCCGUAAACGAUGUGUGCUAGACGUUGGAAAUAUAUUUUUCAGUGUCGCAGCGAAAGCAUUAAGCACACCGCCUGGGGAGUACGAC
This 761-nucleotide ribosomal RNA is filed under the name uncultured marine bacterium. RNAcentral's name for it is "bacterial SSU rRNA". It matches the Rfam family "Bacterial small subunit ribosomal RNA", at positions 88 to 886 of the family's 1533-position model. The record is from RNAcentral.